This 104-nucleotide small nucleolar RNA is filed under the name Gorilla gorilla gorilla (western lowland gorilla). RNAcentral's name for it is "Small nucleolar RNA U13". It matches the Rfam family "Small nucleolar RNA U13". The record is from Rfam by way of RNAcentral. Lineage: Eukaryota; Metazoa; Chordata; Mammalia; Primates; Hominidae.
AUCCUUUUAUGGUUCAUAAGUAUGUUGAUUAUGUUUUCAUGCUGUUGUGUGAGAUGUACCUCCCUCAAACCUUGUUAUGAUGUCAGCACAUUAUCCGUCUGACG